ACGAACGCUGGCGGCGUGCUUAACACAUGCAAGUCGAACGGGUCUGCCCUGUUUUUUGCGGGGUGGGUCAGUGGCGAACGGGUGAGUAACACGUGAGUAACCUGCCCCUCACUUCUGGAUAACCGCUUGAAAGGGUGGCUAAUACGGGGUGUUCUGGCUGUGCCGCAUGGUGUGGCUGGGAAAGAUUCACUUUUGUGGUGUUUUGGUGGGGGAUGGGCUCGCGGCCUAUCAGCUUGUUGGUGGGGUGAUGGCCUGCCAAGGCUUUGACGGGUAGCCGGCCUGAGAGGGUGGGCGGUCACACUGGGACUGAGAUACGGCCCAGACUCCUGCGGGAGGCAGCAGUGGGGGGUAUUGCACAAUGGGCGGAAGCCUGAUGCAGCGACGUCGCGUGAGGGAUGGAGGCCUUCGGGUUGUGAACCUCUUUCGCCGGUGAAUAAGGUCCUGCUCUUUGUGGUGGGGUUGACGGUAGCCGGGUUAUGAAGCGCCGGCUAACUACGUG
This 499-nucleotide ribosomal RNA is filed under the name uncultured bacterium. RNAcentral's name for it is "partial 16S ribosomal RNA". It matches the Rfam family "Bacterial small subunit ribosomal RNA", at positions 29 to 507 of the family's 1533-position model. The record is from RNAcentral.